Molecule: ribosomal RNA, 93 nt
Filed under: Sarcocystis cruzi
Lineage: Eukaryota; Apicomplexa; Conoidasida; Eucoccidiorida; Sarcocystidae
Description: partial 5.8S ribosomal RNA
Rfam family: 5.8S ribosomal RNA
About the family: 5.8S ribosomal RNA (5.8S rRNA) is a component of the large subunit of the eukaryotic ribosome.
Source: RNAcentral
AAUUUUCAGCGAUGGAUGUCUUGGCUCGCGCAACGAUGAAGGACGCAGUGAAAUGCGAAACGCAAUGUGAAUUGCAGAAUUCAGUGAAUCAUC